AGCGAACGCUGGCGGCAGGCUUAACACAUGCAAGUCGAGCGGCCACCUUUCGGGGUGUCAGCGGCGGACGGGCGAGCAACGCGUUGGAACGUGCCCUCGUGUUCGGAAUAACUCGGUGAAACUUCAGCUGAUACCGUAUUCGCCCUUUUGGGGUGAGGCUUGCUGCCGGAGGGCCGGACCGCGUCCGAUUAGCUAGUGGGUGAGGUAACGGCUCACCAAGGCGACGAUCAGGAGCUGGUCUGAGAGGAUUAGCUGCCACACUGGGACUGAGACCCGGCCCGGACUCCUACGGGAGGCAGCAGUGGGGAAUAUUGGACAAUCGGCGCAAGCCUGAUCCAGCCAUGCCGCGUGAGUGAUGAAGGCCUUAGGGUUGUAAAGCUCUUUUAUCCGGGACGAUAAUGACGGUACCGGAGGAAUAAGCCCCGGCUAACUUCGUG
RNAcentral lists this ribosomal RNA (437 nucleotides) under uncultured bacterium. Its description in RNAcentral is "partial 16S ribosomal RNA". It matches the Rfam family "Bacterial small subunit ribosomal RNA", at positions 28 to 507 of the family's 1533-position model. The record is from RNAcentral.